Molecule: ribosomal RNA, 358 nt
Filed under: Haptophyta environmental samples
Lineage: Eukaryota; Haptophyta
Description: SSU rRNA
Rfam family: Eukaryotic small subunit ribosomal RNA
Source: RNAcentral
UAGCGUAUAUUAAAGUUGUUGCAGUUAAAACGCUCGUAGUCGGAUUUCGGGGCGGAGCCGCCGGUCUGCCGAUGGGUACGCACUGGCGGGGCCGUCCUUCCUUCCGGAGACUGGCCCUACUCUUAGCUGAGCGGGGUCGGGAGUCGGAUCGUUUACUUUGAAAAAAUCAGAGUGUUUCAAGCAGGCAGCUCGCUCUUGCAUGGAUUAGCAUGGGAUAAUGAAAUAGGACUUUGGUGCUAUUUUGUUGGUUUCGAACACCGAAGUAAUGAUUAACAGGGACAGUCAGGGGCACUCGUAUUCCGCCGAGAGAGGUGAAAUUCUCAGACCAGCGGAAGACGAACCACUGCGAAAGCAUUUG